RNAcentral lists this ribosomal RNA (743 nucleotides) under uncultured bacterium. Its description in RNAcentral is "bacterial SSU rRNA". It matches the Rfam family "Bacterial small subunit ribosomal RNA", at positions 130 to 878 of the family's 1533-position model. The record is from RNAcentral.
CUUCAGGUGGGGAAUAACCCAGUGAAAAUUGGGCUAAUACCGCAUAACAAGACGGUGGCACAUGCUGUUGUCUUCAAAGGCGCAAGUCGCCGGAAGAGGGAUCCGCGGCCGAUUAGCUUGUUGGCGGGGUAACGGCCCACCAAGGCAAUGAUCGGUAGCCGGACUGAGAGGUUGGCCGGCCACACUGGAACUGAGACACGGUCCAGACUCCUACGGGAGGCAGCAGUGGGGAAUCUUGCGCAAUGGGCGAAAGCCUGACGCAGCGACGCCGCGUGGGGGAUGAAGCUUCUCGGAGUGUAAACCCCUUUCGACCCGGACGAAACCCCGCAAGGGAUUGACGGUACGGGUAUAAGAAGCCCCGGCUAACUACGUGCCAGCAGCCGCGGUAAAACGUAGGGGGCCAGCGUUGCUCGGAAUUACUGGGCGUAAAGGGUCCGUAGGCGGUGUGGCAAGUCGGUAGUGAAAUCUCUCGGCUUAACUGAGAGGCUGCUGCCGAAACUGCCAUGCUCGAGUGCGAGAGAGGCGAGUGGAAUUGCGGGUGUAGCGGUGAAAUGCGUAGAUAUCCGCAGGAACAUCCGAGGCGAAAGCGGCUCGCUGGAUCGCAACUGACGCUGAGGGACGAAAGCUAGGGGAGCAAACAGGAUUAGAUACCCUGGUAGUCCUAGCCCUAAACCAUCAGGACUUGGGGUUUGCCCUGUACGGGGCAAGUCCCGGAGCUAACGCGUUAAGUCCUGCGCCUGGGG